UAUGGCCAUACCACCCUGAACGUACCCGAUCUUGUCUGAUCUCAGAAGCUAAGCAGGGUCAGGCCUGGUUAGUAUUCGGAAGGGAGAAAACAGAGUCGUGCCCAAAU
Molecule: ribosomal RNA, 107 nt
Organism: Bison bison bison
Lineage: Eukaryota; Metazoa; Chordata; Mammalia; Artiodactyla; Bovidae
Source: Ensembl